GGAUGGGAGGGUGGUCAGGCUGCUACAUCGGGAACCCACUGACCACCAGGGGUGACUGGGCUGGUCUGGCUGGCCAAGCAGGUGUCCCCUUCCUCCCUCACAGCUCCACACAGGUCCGUCUGAGAGCUUCACGAUGGGUUGAAGAGGACGGCCUUCCACAAUUGAGGGUCGUUCUUAAGUCGAUUAUAUGUGCGUAGCUGUGCUCUUCUGCAACCUGCAGACAGCUCUGAGAACUUGUAAGAGGUAGAAGUAGCUGUCCAG
RNAcentral lists this small nuclear RNA (261 nucleotides) under Tupaia belangeri (northern tree shrew). RNAcentral's name for it is "7SK RNA (ENSTBEG00000020352.1)". It matches the Rfam family "7SK RNA", at positions 1 to 280 of the family's 331-position model. From Rfam's summary of the family: 7SK was discovered as an abundant small nuclear RNA in the mid-70s but a possible function has only recently been suggested. The record is from RNAcentral. Lineage: Eukaryota; Metazoa; Chordata; Mammalia; Scandentia; Tupaiidae.